RNAcentral lists this ribosomal RNA (206 nucleotides) under uncultured bacterium. RNAcentral describes it as "partial 16S ribosomal RNA". It matches the Rfam family "Bacterial small subunit ribosomal RNA", at positions 1294 to 1500 of the family's 1533-position model. The record is from RNAcentral.
CGGAUCGCAGGCUGCAACCCGCCUGCGUGAAGUUGGAAUUGCUAGUAAUCGCGGAUCAGCAUGCCGCGGUGAAUACGUUCCCGGGCCUUGCACACACCGCCCGUCACACCAUGGGAGCCGGUAAUACCCGAAGUCAGUAGUCCAACCUCGUGAGGACGCUGCCGAAGGUAGGAUUGGCGACUGGGGUGAAGUCGUAACAAGGUAAC